GUGCUCACUUCGGCAGCGCAUGUACUAGAAUUGGAACGACACAGAGAAGAUUAGCAUGGUCCCUGUACAAGGAUGACACGCAAAUCCGUGAAGGUUUCCAUAUUAUU
Molecule: small nuclear RNA, 107 nt
Organism: Alexandromys fortis (reed vole)
Lineage: Eukaryota; Metazoa; Chordata; Mammalia; Rodentia; Cricetidae
Source: RefSeq, a predicted model, not a curated record